This 497-nucleotide ribosomal RNA is filed under the name uncultured bacterium. Its description in RNAcentral is "partial 16S ribosomal RNA". It matches the Rfam family "Bacterial small subunit ribosomal RNA", at positions 28 to 507 of the family's 1533-position model. The record is from RNAcentral.
GAUGAACGCUGGCGGCGUGCCUAAUACAUGCAAGUCGAGCGAACGGACGAGAAGCUUGCUUCUCUGAUGUUAGCGGCGGACGGGUGAGUAACACGUGGAUAACCUACCUAUAAGACUGGGAUAACUUCGGGAAACCGGAGCUAAUACCGGAUAAUAUUUUGAACCGCAUGGUUCAAAAGUAAAAGACGGUCUUGCUGUCACUUAUAGAUGGAUCCGCGCUGCAUUAGCUAGUUGGUAAGGUAACGGCUUACCAAGGCAACGAUGCAUAGCCGACCUGAGAGGGGGAUCGGCGCCACUGGAGCUGAGCCACGGUCCAGACUCCUACGGGAGGCAGAAGUAGGGAAUCGUGCGAAAUGGGCGAAAGACUGACGGAGCAACGCCGCGUGGGUGAUGAAGGUCUUCGGAUCGUAAAACUCUGUUAUUGGGGAAGAACAUAUGUGUAAGUAACUGUGCACAUCUUGACGGUACCUAAUCAGAAAGCCACGGCUAACUACGUG